RNAcentral lists this ribosomal RNA (402 nucleotides) under uncultured bacterium. RNAcentral's name for it is "bacterial SSU rRNA". It matches the Rfam family "Bacterial small subunit ribosomal RNA", at positions 355 to 774 of the family's 1533-position model. The record is from RNAcentral.
UGGGGAAUAUUGGACAAUGGGGGCAACCCUGAUCCAGCCAUGCCGCGUGAGUGAUGAAGGCCUUCGGGUUGUAAAGCUCUUUUGGCGGGGACGAUGAUGACGGUACCCGCAGAAUAAGCCCCGGCUAACUUCGUGCCAGCAGCCGCGGUAAGACGACGGGGGCUAGCGUUGUUCGGAAUUACUGGGCGUAAAGCGAGUGUAGGCGGUUGUCGUAGUCAGGCGUGAAAGCCUCGAGCUCAACUCGAGAAAUGCGCUUGAUACUGGAUGACUAGAGGACCGGAGAGGAUAGUGGAAUUCCCAGUGUAGUGGUGAAAUACGUAGAGAUUGGGAAGAACACCAGUGGCGAAGGCGGCUAUCUGGACGGUUACUGACGCUAAGACUCGAAAGCGUGGGGAGCAAACA